UUAUUAUGGAGAGUUUGAUCCUGGCUCAGGACGAACGCUGGCGGCGUGCCUAACACAUGCAAGUCGAACGGGGAUUUUGUUUCGGCAGAAUCCUAGUGGCGAACGGGUGAGUAACGCGUAGGCAACCUGCCCUCCGGCCGGGGACAACACUCCGAAAGGGGUGCUAAUACCGGAUACGAAGUCUGUGCCGCAUGGUACGGAUUUGAAAGAUGGCCUCUAUUUAUAAGCUAUCGCCGGGGGAUGGGCCUGCGUCCGAUUAGCUGGUUGGUGGGGUAACGGCCUACCAAGGCGACGAUCGGUAGCCGGUCUGAGAGGAUGAACGGCCACAUUGGGACUGAGACACGGCCCAG
RNAcentral lists this ribosomal RNA (350 nucleotides) under Succiniclasticum ruminis. RNAcentral describes it as "bacterial SSU rRNA". It matches the Rfam family "Bacterial small subunit ribosomal RNA", at positions 1 to 334 of the family's 1533-position model. Lineage: Bacteria; Bacillati; Bacillota; Negativicutes; Acidaminococcales; Acidaminococcaceae. The record is from RNAcentral.